CAGCCGCCACGGUAAUACGUAGGUGGCAAGCGUUGUCCGGAAUUAUUGGGCGUAGAGGGCUCGCAGGCGGUUUCUUAAGUCUGAUGUGAAAGCCCCCGGCUCAACCGGGGAGGGUCAUUGGAAACUGGGAAACUUGAGUGCAGAAGAGGAGAGUGGAAUUCCACGUGUAGCGGUGAAAUGCGUAGAGAUGUGGAGGAACACCAGUGGCGAAGGCGACUCUCUGGUCUGUAACUGACGCUGAGGAGCGAAAGCGUGGGGAGCGAACAGGAUUAGAUACCCCUGUAGUCCCUGUCUCUUAUAC
Molecule: ribosomal RNA, 301 nt
Filed under: uncultured bacterium
Lineage: Bacteria
Description: partial 16S ribosomal RNA
Rfam family: Bacterial small subunit ribosomal RNA
Source: RNAcentral